RNAcentral lists this transfer RNA (74 nucleotides) under Holosporales bacterium. Its description in RNAcentral is "tRNA-Gly". It matches the Rfam family "tRNA". From Rfam's summary of the family: Transfer RNA (tRNA) molecules are approximately 80 nucleotides in length. Their secondary structure includes four short double-helical elements and three loops (D, anti-codon, and T loops). Lineage: Bacteria; Pseudomonadati; Pseudomonadota; Alphaproteobacteria; Holosporales. The record is from RNAcentral.
GCGGGCGUAGCUUAAUGGUAAAGCUUCGGCCUUCCAAGCCGACGACGUGGGUUCGAUUCCCAUCACCCGCUCCA